UACGUAGGCAGCGAGCGUUGUUCGGAUUUACUGGGCGUAAAGGGUGUGUAGGCGGUUUUUUAAGUUUGGUGUGAAAUCUCCCGGCUCAACCGGGAGGGUGCGCCGAAUACUGAGGGACUAGAGUACGGGAGAGGAAAGUGGAAUUCCUGGUGUAGCGGUGAAAUGCGUAGAUAUCAGGAGGAACACCGGUGGUGUAGACGGCUUUCUGGACCGUAACUGACGCUGAGACACGAAAGCGUGGGUAGCAAACAGG
RNAcentral lists this ribosomal RNA (253 nucleotides) under uncultured bacterium. RNAcentral describes it as "partial 16S ribosomal RNA". It matches the Rfam family "Bacterial small subunit ribosomal RNA", at positions 524 to 776 of the family's 1533-position model. The record is from RNAcentral.